Molecule: ribosomal RNA, 497 nt
Filed under: uncultured bacterium
Lineage: Bacteria
Description: partial 16S ribosomal RNA
Rfam family: Bacterial small subunit ribosomal RNA
Source: RNAcentral
GAUGAACGCUGGCGGCGUGCCUAAUACAUGCAAGUCGAGCGAACGGACGAGAAGCUUGCUUCUCUGAUGUUAGCGGCGGACGGGUGAGUAGCACGUGGAUAACCUACCUAUAAGACUGGGAUAACUUCGGGAAACCGGAGCUAAUACCGGAUAAUAUUUUGAACCGCAUGGUUCAAGAGUGAAAGACGGUCUUGCUGUCACUUAUAGAUGGAUCCGCGCUGCAUUAGCUAGUUGGUAAGGUAACGGCUUACCAAGGCAACGAUGCAUAGCCGACCUGAGAGGGUGAUCGGCCACACUGGAACUGAGACACGGUCCAGACUCCUACGGGAGGCAGCAGUAGGGAAUCUUCCGCAAUGGGCGAAAGCCUGACGGAGCAACGCCGCGUGAGUGAUGAAGGUCUUCGGAUCGUAAAACUCUGUUAUUAGGGAAGAACAUAUGUGUAAGUAACUGUGCACAUCUUGACGGUACCUAAUCAGAAAGCCACGGCUAACUACGUG